This 429-nucleotide ribosomal RNA is filed under the name Acidobacteriota bacterium. Its description in RNAcentral is "Acidobacteria bacterium partial 16S ribosomal RNA". It matches the Rfam family "Bacterial small subunit ribosomal RNA", at positions 355 to 776 of the family's 1533-position model. Lineage: Bacteria; Pseudomonadati; Acidobacteriota. The record is from RNAcentral.
UGGGGAAUUUUGGACAAUGGGGGAAACCCUGAUCCAGCCAUCCCGCGUGUGCGAUGAAGGCCUUCGGGUUGUAAAGCACUUUUUGCAGGAAAGAAACGUCAUGGGUUAAUACCCCGUGAAACUGACGGUACCUGCAGAAUAAGCACCGGCUAACUACGUGCCAGCAGCCGCGGUAAUACGUAGGGUGCAAGCGUUAAUCGGAAUUACUGGGCGUAAAGCGUGCGCAGGCGGUUCGGAAAGAAAGAUGUGAAAUCCCAGAGCUCAACUGUGGAACUGCAUUUUUAACUACCGGGCUAGAGUGUGUCGGAGGGAGGUGGAAUUCCGCGUGUAGCAGAGACAUGCGUAGAUAUGCGGAGGAACACCGAUGGCGAAGGCAGCCUCCUGGGAUAACACUGACGCUCAUGCACGAAAGCGUGGGGAGCAAACAGG